AGAGUUUGAUUCUGGCUCAGGAUGAACGCUGGCGGCGUGCCUAACACAUGCAAGUCGAACGAAGCGCCUGCGGCGGACCCCUCCGGGGAAAAGCCGCAGGGGACUGAGUGGCGGACGGGUGAGCAACGCGUGGGCAACCUGCCCCGUACCGGGGGACAACAGCCGGAAACGGCUGCUAAUACCGCAUAUUCCCGCGGGGCCGCAUGGCCCUGCGGGGAAAGCUCCGGCAGUACGGGAUGGGCCCGCGUCUGAUUAGCUUGUUGGCGGGGUAACGGCCCACCAAGGCUGCGAUCAGUAGCCGGCCUGAGAGGGCGGCCGGCCACAUUGGGACUGAGACACGGCCCAGACUCCUGCGGGAGGCAGCAGUGGGGGAUAUUGCACAAUGGGGGGAACCCUGAUGCAGCGACGCCGCGUGAACGAAGAAAUAUUUCGGUAUGUAAAGUUCUAU
RNAcentral lists this ribosomal RNA (448 nucleotides) under uncultured bacterium. Its description in RNAcentral is "bacterial SSU rRNA". It matches the Rfam family "Bacterial small subunit ribosomal RNA", at positions 8 to 436 of the family's 1533-position model. The record is from RNAcentral.